Molecule: ribosomal RNA, 393 nt
Filed under: uncultured bacterium
Lineage: Bacteria
Description: partial 16S ribosomal RNA
Rfam family: Bacterial small subunit ribosomal RNA
Source: RNAcentral
AUACGGAGGAUCCGAGCGUUAUCCGGAUUUAUUGGGUUUAAAGGGUGCGCAGGCGGGGGAUUAAGGCGGCGGUGGAAUUUUUACGCUCAACUGUAAAAGGGCCUUUCAAACUGGUUUCCCUGGGUGUUGAUUAAGGAGGCGGAAUUUGUGGUGUAGCGGGGAAAUGUAUUGAUAUCACGAGGAACUCCGAUUGCGCAGGCAGCUUACUAAACUACUACUGACGCUCAGGCACGAAGGCGUGGGGAUCGAACAGGAUUAGAUACCCUGGUAGUCCACGCAGUAAACGAUGAUUACUAGAUGUUUGCGAUACAAUGUAAGCGGCUGAGCGAAAGCGUUAAGUAAUCCACCUGGGGAGUACGUUCGCAAGAAUGAAACUCAAAUGAAUUGGCGGGG